GACGAACGCUGGCGGCGUGCUUAACACAUGCAAGUCGAACGGAAAGGCCUGCUUUCCCUUGUGGAUUGCGGGUACUCGGGUGGCGAACGGGUGAGUAACACGUGAGUGAUCUGCCCCCAACUUGGGUAUAAGCCUGGGAAACUGUGUCUAAUUCCCUAUAGGACUGCAGGGUGGUGCCGUGGGUGGAGAACGUUUUUCUAGUUGUUGGUGCCGAGCUCGCGGCGUAGCAGGUUGUUGGGGGGGUGGUGUCCCACCACGGCGGGGAGCGGUUGCCGGCGUGGGAGGGUGGACGGCCACAUUGGGACUGGGAUCCGGCCCCGACUCGUGCGGGAAGCAGCAGUGGGGAAUAAUGCGCAAUGGGCGGAAGGGUGCUGCAGCGACGCCGUGUGGGGGAUGACGGGCUUCGGGUGGUAAGCUACUUUCGAAGGAGAGGAAGCCACCUGGUUGGAAGGGUGGUGACGGUAGUGGUAGAAGAAGCCCCGGCUAACUACGUG
Molecule: ribosomal RNA, 494 nt
Filed under: uncultured bacterium
Lineage: Bacteria
Description: partial 16S ribosomal RNA
Rfam family: Bacterial small subunit ribosomal RNA
Source: RNAcentral